AUGAGUGCCAAGUACUAUAUUCCUGCUCUAGGUGCAUUUCUUGUUGAAGGCAGUGCUAGAUUCAGUGACCUGUUACGGCCGUUUACAGUCUUAUGUUAUACUCAGCAUGUGGUUGGAAAUGGAAUCAAAGCCCAGUCUGGAAAUCCUGAAGUCAAAGUCAAAGGAACUGAUCCUGUGAUAAAUCAGAUUAUUGAUAAACUGAAGCAUGUUAUUCAGGGAUGGCCAUUGUGCUGUCAGUAUCAAGGGAUGGCUAACAGCACCCACCACAAUGUCAGCUAUGAAAGGAUUCAGAAAAUAGCCUUCUCGGUGCAUGAACAAGGAAGGCAACGCGUGGACCUGGGCCAGAUGAGCAGCUUCUACAUUGGCCUGUGUUCCCGCCUCCACUGCAACAUCUUCUCCUACGACUACUCCGGCUACGGUGCCAGCUCGGGCAGGCCCUCCGAGACGAACCUCUACGCCGACAUCGACGCCGCCCGGCAGGCCCUGCGCACCAGGUACCGCAUCAGCCCGGACAGCAUCAUCCUGUACCGGCAGAGCAUCGGCACGGUGCCCACCGUGGACCUGGCCUCGCGCUACGAGUCCGCCGCGGUGGUGCUGCACUCGCCGCUCACCUUGGACCUGAGCGUCGCCUUCCCGACACCAAGACGACCUACUGCUUCGACGCCUUCCCCAAAAUCCAGAAGGUGUCCAAGAUCACGUCGCCCGUGCUCAUUAUCCACGGCACGAAAGACGAGGUGAUCGACUUCUCGCAGGGGCUGGCGCUCUAGGAGCGCUGCCCCAAGGCCGUGGAGCCGCUGUGGGUGGAGGGCGCCGGGCACAAAGACAUCCAGCUCUACAGCCAGUACCUGGAGCGCCUGCGCCGCUUCAUCUCCCAGGAGCUGCGCAGCCAGAGCGCCUAGCGGCCGCCGGGGCCCCAACCGGCCGGACUUCAGCAAUAAGGCGGCCCCCGGACCUCACCCCGCACCGGCCUCCCGGGGGCUGCAUGUGGACCCCCAGGUGGCCCGGGGGACCCCGCCCGGAUCCAGGGGCCGUGGACGGUGUACAACAGAGCUACCCACUCCUUUCCUUUUGGAAGCAAGAAGAAAUAUGUGAAAACGGAAAUUAAAGAUUAAAAUUUU
This is an RNA transcript of Homo sapiens (human), 1118 nucleotides long. It is a transcript of the gene named alpha/beta hydrolase domain-containing protein 17A-like, with no coding region annotated. The record is from RefSeq and is a predicted model, not a curated record. NCBI's taxonomy places the organism in Eukaryota, Metazoa, Chordata, Mammalia, Primates, Hominidae. The transcript has 6 exons.